Molecule: ribosomal RNA, 460 nt
Filed under: Oceanicola sp. Ar-49
Lineage: Bacteria; Pseudomonadati; Pseudomonadota; Alphaproteobacteria; Rhodobacterales; Roseobacteraceae
Description: bacterial SSU rRNA
Rfam family: Bacterial small subunit ribosomal RNA
Source: RNAcentral
CUAGCGGCGGACGGGUGAGUAACGCGUGGGAAUGUGCCCUUCUCUACGGAAUAGUCCCGGGAAACUGGGUUUAAUACCGUAUACGCCCUUCGGGGGAAAGAUUUAUCGGAGAAGGAUCAGCCCGCGUCUGAUUAGGUAGUUGGUGGGGUAAUGGCCUACCAAGCCUACGAUCAGUAGCUGGUUUUAGAGGAUGAUCAGCCACACUGGGACUGAGACACGGCCCAGACUCCUACGGGAGGCAGCAGUGGGGAAUCUUAGACAAUGGGCGCAAGCCUGAUCUAGCCAUGCCGCGUGAGUGAUGAAGGCCUUAGGGUCGUAAAACUCUUUCGCCAGGGAUGAUAAUGACAGUACCUGGUAAAGAAGCCCCGGCUAACUCCGUGCCAGCAGCCGCGGUAAUACGGAGGGGGCUAGCGUUGUUCGGAAUUACUGGGCGUAAAGCGCGCGUAGGCGGACUAUUAAG